AGAGUUUGAUCCUGGCUCAGAAUGAACGUUGGCGGCGUGGAUUAGGCAUGCAAGUCGAACGGGCCUGGUAGCAAUAUCAGGUCAGUGGCGCAAGGGUGAGUAAGGCGACGGCAACCAACCCCAUGGUUGGGCAUAGCCGCGGGAAACUGCGGGUAAUUCCCAGCGAUGUUCGUGUCGGGCAUCCGGUGCGAACCAAAGUUCUGGCGCCGUGGGACGGGCCGUCGUGGUAUUAGGUUGUUGGCGGGGUAAUGGCCCACCAAGCCUUUGAUGCCUACCGGGCGUGCGAGCGUGGCCCGGCACAUUGGGACUGAGACACUGCCCAGACUCCUACGGGAGGCUGCAGUCGAGAAUCUUCGGCAAUGGGCGCAAGCCUGACCGAGCGACGCCGCGUGGAGGAUGAAGGCCUUCGGGUUGUAAACUCCUGUCGAGGGGGAGGAAGGCGCAAGCUUGACCUAUCCCUGGAGGAAGCACGGGCUAAGUUCGUGCCAGCAGCCGCGGUAAGACGAACCGUGCGAACGUUAUUCGGAAUCACUGGGCUUAAAGCGCGUGUAGGCGGAUGGGGACGUCGGUUGCUGAAAUCCCCCGGCUCAACCGGGGAACGGGCGCCGAAACGCCCCGUCUGGAGGGACGUAGGGGGACCUGGAACUUCCGGUGGAGCGGUGAAAUGCGUUGAGAUCGGAAGGAACGCCCGUGGCGAAAGCGAGGUCCUGGACGUUUUCUGACGCUGAGACGCGAAAGCUAGGGUAGCGAACGGGAUUAGAUACCCUAGUAGUCC
Molecule: ribosomal RNA, 775 nt
Filed under: uncultured bacterium
Lineage: Bacteria
Description: bacterial SSU rRNA
Rfam family: Bacterial small subunit ribosomal RNA
Source: RNAcentral